AGUUUGAUCCUGGCUCAGGACGAACGCUGGCGGCGUGCCUAACACAUGCAAGUCGAACGAAGCUUGACGAAUGAUUUCUUCGGAAUGAAAUCUGAUAUGACUGAGUGGCGCGACGGGGAAACCGUGACCCACUCCCUUGGAAGGGUAUUGGUGGAAACGACAGAAUACCGUUAAAGUUUUUUCCCGCAGUAGAAAUCCAAAAAUGAGGGCGAAGGAUGGCUCGGUUUUGUUAAAUAGUGGUGGGAAACCGCCCACCAAGUGGAAGACCGGUGCCGGGAUGAGAGGUGGACGGCCACAUUGGGAUUGAACACGGCCCAAAUUCUUACGGGGGGCAGCAGUGGGGAAUUUUGCACAAUGGGGGAAACCCUGAUGCAGCAACGCCGCGUGAAGGAAGACGGUUUUCGGAUUGUAAAUUUCUGUUCUUAGUGAAGAAUAAUGACGGUAGCUAAGGAGCAAGCCACGGCUAACUACGUGCCAGCAGCCGCGGUAAUACGUAGGUGGUAAGCGUUGUCCGGAAUUACUGGGUGUAAAGGGAGCGUAGGCGGGAUGCCAAGUCAGCUGUGAAAACUAUGGGCUUAACCUGUAGACUGCAGUUGAAACUGGUAUUCUUGAGUGAAGUAGAGGUUGGCGGAAUUCCGAGUGUAGCGGUGUAAUGCGUAGAUAUUCGGAGGAACACCGGUGGCGAAGGCGGCCAACUGGGCUUUAACUGACGCUGAGGCUCGAAAGUGUGGGGAGCAAACAGGAUUAGAUACCCUGGUAGUCCACACUGUAAACGAUGAUAACUAGGUGUGGGGGGUCUGACCCCUUCCGUGCCGCAGCUAACGCAAUAAGUUAUCCACCUGGGGAGUACGACCGCAAGGUUGAAACUCAAAGGAAUUGACGGGGACCCGCACAAGCAGUGGAUUAUGUGGUUUAAUUCGAAGCAACGCGAAGAACCUUACCAGCACUUGACAUCCGACUAACGAAGUAGAGAUACAUUAGGUGCCCUUCGGGGAAAGUCGAGACAGGUGGUGCAUGGUUGUCGUCAACUCGUGUCGUGAGAUGUUGGGUUAAGUCCCGCAACGAGCGCAACCCCUGCCAUUAGUUGCUACGCAAGAGCACUCUAAUGGGACCGCUACCGACAAGGUGGAGGAAGGUGGGGACGACGUCAAAUCAUCAUGCCCCUUAUGUGCUGGGCUACACACGUAAUACAAUGGCCAUCAACAAAGAGAAGCAAUACCGCGAGGUGGAGCAAAACUUCAAAAAUGGUCUCAGUUCGGACUGCAGGCUGCAACCCGCCUGCACGAAGUUGGAAUUGCUAGUAAUCGUGGAUCAGCAUGCCACGGUGAAUACGUUCCCGGGUCUUGCACACACCGCCCGUC
RNAcentral lists this ribosomal RNA (1361 nucleotides) under uncultured bacterium. RNAcentral describes it as "bacterial SSU rRNA". It matches the Rfam family "Bacterial small subunit ribosomal RNA". The record is from RNAcentral.